AGGACGAACGCUGGCGGCGUGCCUAAUACAUGCAAGUCGAACGGCUUUUCUAUGGAAGCUUGCUUCCACUGAGAAGAUAGUGGCGGACGGGUGAGUAACACGUGGGUAACCUGCCCAUAAGAGGGGGAUAACAUCCGGAAACGGGUGCUAAUACCGCAUAGUUUUCUUGAUCGCAUGAUCGAGAAAGGAAAGACGGCCUUUGUGCUGUCGCUUAUGGAUGGACCCGCGGCGUAUUAGUUAGUUGGUGAGGUAACGGCUCACCAAGACGAUGAUACGUAGCCGACCUGAGAGGGUGAUCGGCCACAUUGGGACUGAGACACGGCCCAAACUCCUACGGGAGGCAGCAGUAGGGAAUCUUCCGCAAUGGACGAAAGUCUGACGGAGCAACGCCGCGUGAGUGAAAGAAGGUUUUCGGAUCGUAAAACUCUGUUGUCAGAGAAGAACAAGUCGGAGAGUAACUGCUCCGGCCUUGACGGUAUCUGACCAGAAAGCCACGGCUAACUACGUGCCAGCCGCCGC
Molecule: ribosomal RNA, 519 nt
Filed under: uncultured bacterium
Lineage: Bacteria
Description: bacterial SSU rRNA
Rfam family: Bacterial small subunit ribosomal RNA
Source: RNAcentral